GAGAAAUGGAGGGAAGUGAGACAUGACUAAGAUGUAGGUAAAAAGGAAUAAAGGUGUUUCCUGCUCAAAUCUCUCUUGAAGAAAUUAAUGGAGAAGGAAAGCACAAAGCAUGCUUGAAAGAAAGCAAAGCUGUUUGAAUUUCCCUUGGGAAAAGAUGCAAUGCAGACUGGCUUUGAAACUUGGACUCCUUGGCCAAAACAUGCAUAUUUGUUUCCUUUUAAUUUGUUCAAAUGUAUCAUCAACACAGCCAGAAUCCCUGUGCAGUUGGUACUGGACUAGUUAAUUAGCAAGUGUAAAUAAACAGUGAAAGGAGGAGGAUGACUGGAGUUUCACAGCUGCUUUAAUACAACUGGUUUCACUUAGAGAAGAUGACAUGUUGAAAUGUGAUGAGUAAAGAUGUGCAGAAUGCUUCCCCAGUAAUUGGAAUUCAAGCAACAAUAACACUGGGCAUUGUUGGAUCCUUUACAACUUUAAGAAAAAGGUCUCCUUCCUUCGCUUUGGAAAAAAGUGCACAUAUUAUAGAACAUCGUGACUUUAUUCAACAUUAAAAAGAGAAAUUAAAAAUUAUUUCACCUGAGUGCAUCUGCAUUUGAAUCAAGCAUAUGUUUAAGUUUAUGCAACUUCUAAUGCACAAUUUCUUCUUCCAACUUUCUAUUGCUAUAAAAUGGCAGGAUUUUAGAGCUGAAUGAGUAAUUUUGUGUCAAAUUCUCACUUUAGAAAUGAGGAGAUAAAGGCCUAGAUAAGUAAGGUAAUUUACCUAUAGAUACACAGUAAAUUGAUGGCAGAAAUGGAACCAAGCUAAGAACUCCUGAUUGUGCUUCUUGAAUAGCCCAAGAUGGGAGGGUCUGAGCAGUGGGAAAGAGACUGUCAGGGGCCAAGGACCAGUUAUCCUGGGGAAAUAUUAAGAAGAACUGAAUGAGAAAGCAGCUGGUAAAAGGCCAUUGGCUGUAGCAAACAGAUUACAGAUGAUGUCUAUAGUCAGGACUUUUUUGGUCAUGAGUGGUGGAAAACCAUCUAAAACUAGCUUGAGCUAAAGGAAAAAAUUACAUCCUCAUGUUACCAAGAAGUCUGGAUUUAGAAGUUAUUUCAAGUACACCUGCAGAGAGGUGCCCAAAUGACUAUCAAUCCUUUUCCUCGAGCUCUGUUUCUUCGCUUUCUGUGUUGGUUUUAUUCUUUCUUACAGGUAGCAUCUUCCAUGCAGUGAGAAAGAGGGCCACUUUGUAAUCUGUAUUUAUGUUCUCCCACUUUGGCAACCUCAGCUGAAAAAGAAGGCCUGCCUUUCAAUGUUCAAACAUUAAUUGUGGAGCAGAACAUUAAUU
Molecule: long non-coding RNA, 1319 nt
Filed under: Pan troglodytes (chimpanzee)
Lineage: Eukaryota; Metazoa; Chordata; Mammalia; Primates; Hominidae
Description: lncRNA (ENSPTRG00000052891.1)
Source: RNAcentral